UCUCAAAGACUAAGCCAUGCAUGUCUAAGUAUAAACAAAUUUGUACUGUAAAACUGCGGACGGCUCAUUAAAUCAGUUACAAUCUACUUGAUCGUAUAUUCAAAGAAUUAAUCGGGUAACCCUAGUAAUUCUAGAGCUAACACGUGCAAAAAGCUCCGACCUCUUUUAACCGAGGGGAAAGAGUGUAUUUAUUAGGUAACUUAAAACCAAUCAGCCCAAAAGGCUGUUUUGUUGAUGAUUCAUAAUAACUUUGCAAAUCGCGGGCCAAUGUCUGCGAUGAUACAAACGAGUUUCUGACCUAUCAACUUUAGAUGGCAGGAUAGGGGCUUGCCAUGGUGACAACGGGUAACGGGGAAUA
Molecule: ribosomal RNA, 358 nt
Filed under: uncultured fungus
Lineage: Eukaryota; Fungi
Description: bacterial SSU rRNA
Rfam family: Eukaryotic small subunit ribosomal RNA
Source: RNAcentral